GAUCGCGCCGACACGGGCGGUUCAUCGCCGCCGAUAUCACGAGAAGUCCACUGAACCUUAUCAUUUAGAGGAAGGAGAAGUCRUAACAAGGUUUCCGUAGGUGAACCUGGGGAAGGAUCAUUAUCGAU
Molecule: ribosomal RNA, 128 nt
Filed under: Stemonocoleus micranthus
Lineage: Eukaryota; Viridiplantae; Streptophyta; Magnoliopsida; Fabales; Fabaceae
Description: partial 18S ribosomal RNA
Rfam family: Eukaryotic small subunit ribosomal RNA
Source: RNAcentral